AUUGAACGCUGGCGGCAUGCUUUACACAUGCAAGUCGAACGGUAACAGGCCGCAAGGUGCUGACGAGUGGCGAACGGGUGAGUAAUGCAUCGGAACGUGCCCAGUCGUGGGGGAUAACUACUCGCAAGAGUAGCUAAUACCGCAUACGAUCUAUGGAUGAAAGCGGGGGACCGUAAGGCCUCGCGCGAUUGGAGCGGCCGAUGUCAGAUUAGGUAGUUGGUGGGGUAAAGGCUCACCAAGCCAACGAUCUGUAGCUGGUCUGAGAGGACGACCAGCCACACUGGGACUGAAACACGGCCCAGACUCCUACGGGAGGCAGCAGUGGGGAAUUUUGGACAAAGGGCGCAAGCCUGAUCCAGCAAUGCCGCGUGCAGGAAGAAGGCCUUCGGGUUGUAAACUGCUUUUGUACGGAACGAAACGGCUCUGGUUAAUACCCGGGGCUAAUGACGGUACCGUAAGAAUAAGCACCGGCUAACUACGUG
This 482-nucleotide ribosomal RNA is filed under the name uncultured bacterium. RNAcentral describes it as "partial 16S ribosomal RNA". It matches the Rfam family "Bacterial small subunit ribosomal RNA", at positions 30 to 507 of the family's 1533-position model. The record is from RNAcentral.